AUACGGAGGAUGCGAGCGUUAUCCGGAUUUAUUGGGUUUAAAGGGAGCGUAGGUGGGAUAUUAAGUCAGCUGUGAAAGUUUGCGGCUCAACCGUAAAAUUGCAGUUGAAACUGGCAGUCUUGAGUACAGUAGAGGUGGGCGGAAUUCGUGGUGUAGCGGUGAAAUGCUUAGAUAUCACGAAGAACUCCGAUUGCGAAGGCAGCUCACUAGACUGUUACUGACACUGAUGCUCGAAAGUGUGGGUAUCAAACAGGAUUAGAUACCCUGGUAGUCCACACAGUAAACGAUGAAUACUCGCUGUUUGCGAUAUACAGUAAGCGGCCAAGCGAAAGCAUUAAGUAUUCCACCUGGGGAGUACGCCGGCAACGGUGAAACUCAAAGGAAUUGGCGGGG
This 393-nucleotide ribosomal RNA is filed under the name uncultured bacterium. Its description in RNAcentral is "partial 16S ribosomal RNA". It matches the Rfam family "Bacterial small subunit ribosomal RNA", at positions 523 to 918 of the family's 1533-position model. The record is from RNAcentral.